Molecule: ribosomal RNA, 253 nt
Filed under: uncultured bacterium
Lineage: Bacteria
Description: partial 16S ribosomal RNA
Rfam family: Bacterial small subunit ribosomal RNA
Source: RNAcentral
UACGAAGGGUGCAAGCGUUACUCGGAAUUACUGGGCGUAAAGCGUGCGUAGGUGGUUCGUUAAGUCUGUCGUGAAAGCCCCGGGCUCAACCUGGGAAUGGCGAUGGAUACUGGCGGGCUAGAGUGCGGUAGAGGAGAGUGGAAUUCCCGGUGUAGCAGUGAAAUGCGUAGAGAUCGGGAGGAACAUCGAUGGCGAAGGCAGGUCUCUGGGCAUUAACUGACGCUGAGGAGCGAAAGCAUGGGGAGCGAACAGG